AACAGGAUUAGAUAGCCUGGUAGUCCACGCCGUAAACGAUGGAUACUAGCUGUUGGGCGCAAGUUCAGUGGCUAAGCGAAAGUGAUAAGUAUCCCACCUGGGGAGUACGUUCGCAAGAAUGAAACUCAAAGGAAUUGACGGGGGCCCGCACAAGCGGUGGAGCAUGUGGUUUAAUUCGAUGAUACGCGAGGAACCUUACCAAGGCUUAAAUGUAGAUUGACCGGUUUGGAGACAGACUUUUCGCAAGACAAUUUACAAGGUGCUGCAUGGUUGUCGUCAGCUCGUGCCGUGAGGUGUCAGGUUAAGUCCUAUAACGAGCGCAACCCCUGUUGUUAGUUGCCAGCGAGUCAUGUCGGGAACUCUAACGAGACUGCCAGUGCAAACUGUGAGGAAGGUGGGGAUGACGUCAAAUCAUCACGGCCCUUACGCCUUGGGCUACACACGUGCUACAAUGGCCGGUACAGAGAGCAGCCACUGGGUGACCAGGAGCGAAUCUAUAAAACCGGUCACAGUUCGGAUCGGAGUCUGCAACUCGACUCCG
This 541-nucleotide ribosomal RNA is filed under the name uncultured bacterium. Its description in RNAcentral is "bacterial SSU rRNA". It matches the Rfam family "Bacterial small subunit ribosomal RNA", at positions 771 to 1320 of the family's 1533-position model. The record is from RNAcentral.